GAUGAACGCUGGCGGCGUGCCUAAUACAUGCAAGUCGAGCGAACAGACGAGGAUCUUGCUCCUCUGACGUUAGCGGCGGACGGGUGAGUAACACGUGGAUAACCUACCUAUAAGACUGGGAUAACUUCGGGAAACCGGAGCUAAUACCGGAUAACAUGUUGAACCGCAUGGUUCAACAGUGAAAUACGGGCUUGCUGACACUUCUAGAUGGCUCCGCGCCGCAUUAGCUAGUUGGUAAGGUAACGGCUUACCAAGGCAGCGAUGCGUAGCCGACCUGAGAGGGUGAUCGGCCACACUGGAAGUGAGCCGCGGUACAGAGUCCGACGGGCGGCCGAGGUAGGGAAGCGUGCGAGAAGGGGGAAAGACUGACGGAGCAACGCCGCGUGAGUGAAGAAGGUCUUCGGAUCGUAAAACUCUGUUAUUGGGGUAGAACAAAUGUGUAAGUAACUAUGCACGUCUUGACGGUACCUAGUCAGAAAGCCACGGCUAACUACGUG
This 497-nucleotide ribosomal RNA is filed under the name uncultured bacterium. Its description in RNAcentral is "partial 16S ribosomal RNA". It matches the Rfam family "Bacterial small subunit ribosomal RNA", at positions 28 to 507 of the family's 1533-position model. The record is from RNAcentral.